Molecule: long non-coding RNA, 2503 nt
Organism: Anguilla rostrata (American eel)
Lineage: Eukaryota; Metazoa; Chordata; Actinopteri; Anguilliformes; Anguillidae
Exons: 2
Source: RefSeq, a predicted model, not a curated record
ACUCCAUCUGUCGUACGCAAACAUGUUCACGACACAUCUGGGCAAAACUGACGAGGAGGUUGUGCGAACAAGAUUCAUUAAGCAUUCUGACUAAUUCACAAAGGCCUAUGCAAAUGAGUCUGUGUUAUUUACAGAGCUCUGUGAGAGGAGGCAUUUCAUUGUGGAGCUGAUUGCCUACACAAAGACAAUGCAACACGGAAGCAAUGCCUUUGAUUAUCGCGGCUGUAAUUGCCACAAGGCCAAUGCGUUGCGAUUUGAGGACCGAGGGGAGGAUAUUUUGGAUGAUACGUGCGAUAGUUUUGAUAAACCUUCUGCAAACGAAACCACUGUGUGUGUGUGUGUCUGUCUGUGUGUGUUCACGUGGGUGUGUGUGUGUGUGUGUGUGAGAGAGAGAGAUUCCAAUCUUACUCUUUUCCCAAGGCUAGGUGUUAAUCCAUUUAAUCUUGACACUAAGUGGGUGCUUUUUAAUGUUCUUAAGUUAUUCACAGUUUUUGGAAGAAGAAAAAAAAAAAAAAAACUAAACCGCAUUUUCUUAUAAUGCACAUUGUACGUGGAAUAACUAACAAAAGAGGUUUAAACUGGAGGCAGUGUUGUCCCUGGGCAAUUUUAAAUCUCCUCUUCACAGUCGUGUGAUUGAAGAGAGUAAUUGUUUUUGAUUGUGGGAGGCUGCGUUCAGCGGGUUGUGCUAAUUGACUCUGUACAAGUGCUCUCUCUGGUUCGGUGAGCCAGCGCGCGUCUCUUUGACAUGGGACUUUUGUGUUUUCCUAUUUUAUGUUUCGCUAUCUCUGCCGGGUCUCUACCGAAAAGGAGAUUUUUACUCUCACGGGACCUCCCGGUUAAAUAGAAGCGGUUGUUCAAAGCGCACGCUCCGUCACAGAAUACCUUCCCUUCCGCAUUUCUCCCAUUCACACUGAGGUUAGUUUCUGCAUUUAGUGGGCCGGGUCAAUGGUUGUGUUAAUUCCAGGCGCCGUGGCAACGGGGUUUAGCCUUAACGCGCACAGGGUUCUCCCUUCCCUAAUUGUGAACAACGCUAAACCGUUUCGCUUUGACGAUGUGAUUAGCCUUUUUGCAUAAGUAAUGUAAUGAAUUGGUUACGCUCCUCUUUUUUUUCCCCCCACUGAUUGCAGUCAUGCUUCGCUUGAAAAAAAAAAACGUCACGGUGUCUAAUUACGAUUUGACCAAAUGGGCCUCCAGACUGUCGCUGGAGUGACCAUUUCCAGGACAUGAGUGCCCCCCGCCCCCCUUUCAUACACCCCCUGAGGGUUCUGAAACUUCACUUUAUUUAAGGUAAUUUGUACAUUUACAUUCUGCUCCAAGUGUAACGAAGCGCUCGCUUUGAAACGUUCUCAUGGAAACCUCAAACACUCUGUGAUGAAAUCCAGCCAGGCUCCGUGUCAUCCGUGACAAUGUAGAUGACAAAAAAAAAAAACGGAAUAAAGUAAAAUAAAGAAGGGAAAUUGGACGCCGAGUCAGAAGGACAUGAAAGGAGGCCGUGCGACAGGGCGCCUGUAGGUGCGAGAGGAAAAUCAAAAGAUCGGCGACCGGGUGGCGGAACUCAGAAAAUAAUGGGGCAGACAGGCAUACAUUGGCUGGCUGAUAAGAAAGGAAUUCACAAGAACCUGGCUCUGCCCGCGGGCCUCCUGGGCCUGGAGUUUGAGGACCCCCUGCCCCUGGAGGAACGGUUAGACCGGAUUACACCGAGGUUUGCAUUUCCAACCACAGCCUGCAGGUUGUUCGGGUGCGGGCUGAACAGGUGAGAGCAGGGACCGAAGCUGCUAAGCGACAGCUCCAUGGAAAAGGGCUAUUUAAUCUCUUUAAGGACGGGAGCAGAGACUUAGCAGAGACUCCAGCCAUGGGGAGAAAGGGAGACCACAGCCAGGAAGAGGAGGAGGAAGAGGAAGAGGAAGAGGCGGUCUGCGCGGAGACACGGGCCACGAGGUGGGCGGGAUUAGCGGGGGGAUGAGGUGUACCAGGAACAGAUGUUUUUAAGCUUUGCCAGCUUUAGCCAGCGCUGGAGAGGCACAGGGGACCGGGGGGAAGGGGAGGGAUGGUUUGGGGAUGGGGUGGGGAUGGGGGGGGGGGGGGGGGCAGGAUACGGAUGGGACAGCGGUACCAGCAGGGGGCCCGCUCAGCAGGGGGGUCUGUGAAUGUAUGCCCAUGGGGGUUUGCUAGAUAACUGAGGACCAUAAUGAAAUAAGGACAGAAUUAAAAAAAAAAAAAAGAAAAUAAUCCAAUGCCUUAGGCCUGGCAGGGAAACAAUUUUGCCGGAUAAAGUGGUUCCUUUGUUUUUAAUUGAAUUUAUUUAUUUGUGUGUUGCCAUCUCCCGAUUUGAGCAGGUCUGCAACCCCUGUAGUCAAGUUUUUUUUUUCUGAAUUAUUUGUCCUUCCCCGUGGUGAUGGAUGAUACAAGCGUGCUACCUCAUUUUUAUGCCCCAAUGAAACAAAAUAAAAAAUAAUAUCAAACUACUGCAUUAAAAAAGCAAGUAAAUAAAUAACUAAAAGCA